UACGAAGGGUGCAAGCGUUACUCGGAAUUACUGGGCGUAAAGCGUGCGUAGGCGGUUUGUUAAGUCUGUCGUGAAAGCCCCGGGCUCAACCUGGGAAUGGCGAUGGAUACUGGCGAGCUAGAGUACGGUAGAGGAGAGUGGAAUUCCCGGUGUAGCAGUGAAAUGCGUAGAGAUCGGGAGGAACACCGAUGGCGAAGGCAGGUCUCUGGGCUGACACUGACGCUCAUGCACGAAAGCGUGGGGAGCAAACAGG
Molecule: ribosomal RNA, 253 nt
Filed under: uncultured bacterium
Lineage: Bacteria
Description: partial 16S ribosomal RNA
Rfam family: Bacterial small subunit ribosomal RNA
Source: RNAcentral